This 228-nucleotide long non-coding RNA is filed under the name Mytilus galloprovincialis (Mediterranean mussel). Lineage: Eukaryota; Metazoa; Mollusca; Bivalvia; Mytilida; Mytilidae. The record is from RNAcentral.
AAUUUCUAACUAUUUAUCAUUUUAAAAGUCUGGUUACAAUCCUAUCAUCUCUAUCCAUGUAUUUAACAUAAUUUGACUUAAAUAGCAGCCAGAUGUGUUUAAACAAAGCCUUUUUAGCAAAAGAUUUACAUAAAGGCUUGUAUAGUCCGCUGUUUUAUUUUCUAAAAUUUAAUCUGCGAGACAGGGGUGUGGACUAUAGAGUACGAUAACCACGAAAUAAGAGAAACC